UAUUUACACAAAGCACGGGAGACAUGUUAGAGCAGGAAAUACAAGGGCAUUAAUCCUGAGACAACAAGCAGCCUUGGCUGAAAACCGCAGAGUGUGGUUUCAAGGCACGCUCCUGUCUAGCCUGGGCUGUGCAGUGACCAGACAAGUAGUGAACCUGGAGCAUCACCAAAGGCAGGGAAACAAAAACAGAGGAAC
Molecule: long non-coding RNA, 195 nt
Organism: Harpia harpyja (harpy eagle)
Lineage: Eukaryota; Metazoa; Chordata; Aves; Accipitriformes; Accipitridae
Exons: 3
Source: RefSeq, a predicted model, not a curated record